GGUGUGGUUACGGAGGUUACCCCAAGUCUGGCGGCAGUAGAAGCUCCAUGAAGGUUAGCUUUGGUCAUUUUUUGAUGGCGGAGGAGGACAGUCAGAUUCCCCUGGAAAUCGGGGAGACCUUCCUGGAGGAGGUGACGCGGCAGAAGGAUGAGCGGGAGAUAACCUGGGGGAAGUAAGGGUGUUGCAGGCGGGAAGGGUGGAGAGGAGGGCAGGGCUCAGCCCCGGGCUCUAGCUCCCCUGCCCCACCUUGGUGUGUCUCCCAGACCCCGUCCUGAGUCCACCUCCUCUUGGCUGCAGCCCCGUGGGGGCCAGUGACAAAGCUCCCCGCUGUGCUGGCCCCACACACCGUGCCCUGCCCGCCCAGGUCCCAGGAGCCAGCGGGGUGGGAGGCGCCAGGUGAGGCCGAAGGCUGGUCGGGAGGAGGCGGGCCUCAGCAUGAGCCUGUCUCAGCAUCUUCCUCCUCCAGCCUCAGGGGAUGCCCGGCCCAGUCUGGUGCCACAAAAAUUUGCCAAAGGCAGCUCUCCUCUCCACCCUGGCCCGUGCUGUGCUGGGCAUCUGGGGUGAACCCAUCUGGUGCUCACCCUCAAGGAGGGGAGAUGGUUGCCGGGCUGUGGAGGGAAGGACUGUGGCCAGAAGGUACAAAGUGCUGGAGGAGUGGGGAGGCAAUCAGGGAAGGCUUCCUGGGGGAGCGGCCCUGGAGCGGGUGGGGCCCCUGUGAGGAUGGUGGUGGGGCUGGGCCGGAUGCCCAGGCUCCGGGCAGGCAGCUGGAUUUGGUGGGGGGAAGAGGAGGAGGGAACUGGGGUCUGGGGAGCCCCCUCUGAGGUUCAGCUGGGCAGCGGGGCGAGGGCCGGGCCUGCGGGGCCCCCGGUGUCACCUGGCCUGCAGCUGAUGUUUGCUGAGCACACGCUGUGUGGGGCCAGGCCGUGCGCUCUUGCUCCCCACAGCCCCAUCUGAGGGAGGUGCGGUCAUCGUGGCCAUUUUCCAGAUGGGAAAACGGGCUCUGAAGAGCUAAGCAGCGUGCCGGGGCCUGGGGCCAGAAGCAGUUCCAUGGGUGUGAGGCCCCUCAUUGCAGACGCCAGCCUGCACCCCCCGCCCCCCCCCACCUCGCCGCAGCCGUCAGAGGCCCCGCCCCUGGCUGGGGGCCCAGCCCCACCCUUGCCCGUGGGGCCCACCCUGGCCCGGGCCCCCUGCCCACCAUCCUGAGCAGCACCUCUCAUGCCCACGUGCCAGCCGCUUCAGUGCCCUUUGCAGCCAGGGUCUGGCUCCACCCAGGGCUGUGGCCGGGCCGGUGGCCCCCCAGCCAGAGGACCUGGGGGCUCAGCGUGAAGCCAGCCAGUCCGAUGGUGGAGACAUGGGCAUGCCCUGUCUGACAGAGGCCAUUGGGGCAGUGGACGCACAAGGCAGGUCUGCCAGGUGAAGGCUCAUCAGCGUGUCCACCCACACGGGCACAGGGUUCCUCGCAAAGUGGGCGGACCAGUCUGACCAUCAGUCGGUUCCACUGCCCAGACUGGGCCGUGCUCACUGGCCAGUGAGGCCCCAGAGGUGGACUGCCUUUCUGCCCUGGCUGCAUGGCCUUCAGUUCCCGAAGCUAAGAAAAAGGAGAAAUCUUCAGUCACCUCUUCACCCCUCCUCCUGCUGCACUUGGCUCUCAUGGGGGCGGAAUGGUGGGACCACAGGGCUCCCUGAAACAGAAGGAGCUGCAUGUCCAAGCGUCAACCUCAUCAGUGUGAGCCCGACGGCAGGGAGUGGGGAGGAGCUAAAGAGCCCUGAUGCCAAAAGGCGAAGAACUAAAGAGCCGCCCGAUGAAGGUGAAAGAGGAGAGUGAAAAAGCUGGCUUACAACUCAGCGUUCAAAAAACUGAGAUCAUGAAAUCCGGUCCCAUGGCAAAUACUUGGGAAACAAUGGAAACAGUGAAAGACUUUAUUUUGGCUCCAAAAUCACUGCAGAUGGUGACUGCAGUCAUGAAAUUAAAGGACUCUCGCUCCUUGGGAAAAAAAGCUGUGACCAACCUAGACAGUGUAUUAAAAAGCAGAGACAUUGCUUUGCCAACAAAUGUCUGCCUAGUCAAAGCUAUGGUUCUUCCAAUAGUCACGUAUGGAUGUGAGAGUUGGACCAUAAAGGUUGAGUGCUGAAGAAUCGAUGCUUUUGAACUCUGGUGUUGGAGAAGACUGUUGAGAGUUCUUUGGACUGCAAGAUCAAACCAGUCAAUCCUAAAGGAAAUACUUAUUAGAAGGACUGAUGCUAAAGCUGAAGUUCCGGUACUUUGGCCACACGAUGUGAAGAGCCCACUCACUGGAAAAGACCCCGAUGCUGGGAAAGACUGAAGGCAGGAGGAGAAGGGGGUGACAGAGGAUGAGAUGGUUGGAUGGAAUCACCAACUCAAUGGACAUGAGUUUGAGCAAGCUCCGGGAGAUGGUGAAGGACAGGGAAGCCUGGUGUGCUGCCGUCCAUGGCGUCGCAAAGAGUCGGACACGACUGAGCAACUGAACUGCGGGACUGCCUUUCCCAUGAUUAACUCAGUCCAGAGGAUAACCACGAAUCUGUGCCCCAGCCCCGUGCCACCCGACAGCCACCCAGCAGAGGCUGUUCACCCAGCGCACGUGAGUGCUCGGAAGACUUGUUGGCAAGUAUCUCCCUCCUCCACCAGACCGUACACCAACAUCCCCCGUCCCCAUUGUGUCCCCAGGACAGUGGUGAACAAAUGAGCGAGUGAAGUGAAUGCCUGAAACACAGUCCCUCAAGGAGCCCCCAGUCAAAGAGAGAGAGACACGUAACCGUCACACAACUGGUGGAUUUGUACAGCUUAUUUAUUUUAUAUAUAAAUAUUUAAAUUUUA
Dama dama (fallow deer) is the source of this 2836-nucleotide long non-coding RNA. RefSeq lists it as uncharacterized. The record is from RefSeq and is a predicted model, not a curated record. NCBI's taxonomy places the organism in Eukaryota, Metazoa, Chordata, Mammalia, Artiodactyla, Cervidae. The transcript has 2 exons.